UUACUUUGGCAGAUUAGUGCUUUAGAUUUAGAAUUUAAAAAUGUAUUUUAAAUACAAGUAAUAA
This 64-nucleotide transfer RNA is filed under the name Heterochelus sulphureus. RNAcentral describes it as "tRNA-Leu". The record is from RNAcentral. Lineage: Eukaryota; Metazoa; Arthropoda; Insecta; Coleoptera; Scarabaeidae.